RNAcentral lists this non-coding RNA (182 nucleotides) under Acetonema longum. Lineage: Bacteria; Bacillati; Bacillota; Negativicutes; Acetonemataceae. RNAcentral also lists the same sequence under 1 other name. The record is from RNAcentral.
AUAAACGGAAACGGAACAGGUGCCCCAUGGGGCUUAAUAGGGAAGUCCGGUACAAUGCCGGCGCGGUCCCGCCACUGUAACGGGGAGCAAACCCAAACGAUGUCACUGGGAUAAAAUGUCCUGGGAAGACUGGGGGAGCGAGGAACCGGAGCCAGGAGAACUGCCUGUUUAACGGUCACCGC